This 380-nucleotide transfer-messenger RNA is filed under the name Bacilli. RNAcentral describes it as "UBA3789 sp902782835 Standard tmRNA". It matches the Rfam family "transfer-messenger RNA". Rfam says of the family: Bacterial tmRNA, also known as 10Sa RNA or SsrA, is named for its dual tRNA and mRNA-like properties. Its role is to liberate the mRNA from a stalled ribosome. The record is from RNAcentral. Lineage: Bacteria; Bacillati; Bacillota. RNAcentral also lists the same sequence under 1 other name.
GGGGCUGAUAUGGUUUCGACGGGAAUAGUAGAGCAUAGAUGGCAGGUCGAAUGUCCACGUCACGGGCACAAAAAAAUAAAUGCAAAUAAAUUAAAAAAUGCUGUUGCUAACAUGUUUGGCGGACGUCAAGCUGUUGCAUACGCUCUUUAAUAAGACGAGCCAGCGCUUCUUUUUAAUCUUUACCUAGGGAUUAUUUAGAGGUUCAUUUUUAUAGGUUAUGUCUAUCUUUUGUCUAGAAGAUAGAAUGAAUUGUUAGACUCGUAUAUUUUCUUGGUCGUUAAUUACUUGGAAAGUAUAUUAAAAUAAUUAGUUAACUAAGCUUGUAGAAGUUUAUGUAGCUCUAUUUUCGGACAGGAGUUCGAUUCUCCUCAGUUCCACCA